RNAcentral lists this ribosomal RNA (443 nucleotides) under uncultured bacterium. RNAcentral describes it as "bacterial SSU rRNA". It matches the Rfam family "Bacterial small subunit ribosomal RNA", at positions 335 to 795 of the family's 1533-position model. The record is from RNAcentral.
UGCCUACGGGAGGCUGCAGCAGGGAAUUUUGCACAAUGGACGGAAGUCUGAUGCAGCGACGCCGCGUGGGUGAAGAAGGCCUUCGGGUCGUAAAACCCUUUUCUGGGGGAAGAGGAAGGACGGUACUCCAGGAAUAAGUGUCGGCUAACUACGUGCCAGCAGCCGCGGUAAUACGUAGGACACGAGCGUUAUCCGGAUUUACUGGGCGUAAAGCGCCUGUAGGCGGUCUUGUAAGUCGGAUGUGAAAGCCCCAGGCUUAACCUGGGGAGGCCAUUCGAUACUGCGGGACUUGAGGAUGGCAGAGGGGAGUGGAAUUCCCGGUGUAGCGGUAAAAUGCGCAGAUAUCGGGAGGAACACCAGUGGCGAAGGCGGCUCCCUAGGCCACCCCUGACGCUGAGAGGCGAAAGCUAGGGGAGCGAACAGGAUUAGAUACCCCAGUAGUC